This 206-nucleotide ribosomal RNA is filed under the name uncultured bacterium. RNAcentral's name for it is "partial 16S ribosomal RNA". It matches the Rfam family "Bacterial small subunit ribosomal RNA", at positions 568 to 774 of the family's 1533-position model. The record is from RNAcentral.
CGUGUAGGCGGGAUUGCAAGUCAGAUGUGAAAACUGGGGGCUCAACCUCCAGCCUGCAUUUGAAACUGUAGUUCUUGAGUGCUGGAGAGGCAAUCGGAAUUCCGUGUGUAGCGGUGAAAUGCGUAGAUAUACGGAGGAACACCAGUGGCGAAGGCGGAUUGCUGGACAGUAACUGACGCUGAGGCGCGAAAGCGUGGGAGCAAACA